This 31-nucleotide non-coding RNA is filed under the name Homo sapiens (human). The record is from RNAcentral. Lineage: Eukaryota; Metazoa; Chordata; Mammalia; Primates; Hominidae.
UGUGCACAGUGCACCGAGGGGUCAUCCGCAC